AUCUAAUUAGUUUAAGAAAAAUAUAAAUUUGUGGAGUUUAAGAUAUAUCUAUAUUAGAUA
This 60-nucleotide transfer RNA is filed under the name Lachesilla sp. LaspMLY. Its description in RNAcentral is "tRNA-His". The record is from RNAcentral. Lineage: Eukaryota; Metazoa; Arthropoda; Insecta; Psocodea; Lachesillidae.